This 236-nucleotide unclassified non-coding RNA is filed under the name Hevea brasiliensis (rubber tree). Lineage: Eukaryota; Viridiplantae; Streptophyta; Magnoliopsida; Malpighiales; Euphorbiaceae. The record is from RNAcentral.
GCAACUAUUGUACUACACCAAAAACCAAUUUGUUGAGGUAAGGAUGAAAGUUGUGGAAUAAUGCUCGUAGUGCUUAAUGAAGAUCGUACUAGGCUUUAUUUAUUUUGUAGACAUACUAGAAGUUCUUAGGAUCAACAAACCCUUAAAGCUAGGACAUAUAUACUUCAUGGUCGAGUUUUUUGUGUAAGAAGGUUUUAUUGAAUUCAAGUGUGGAACCAACCAAGCACGAGAGAAAG